RNAcentral lists this ribosomal RNA (449 nucleotides) under uncultured bacterium. RNAcentral describes it as "partial 16S ribosomal RNA". It matches the Rfam family "Bacterial small subunit ribosomal RNA", at positions 29 to 523 of the family's 1533-position model. The record is from RNAcentral.
AAUGAACGCUGGCGGCAGGCCUAACACAUGCAAGUCGAACGGAUCCUUCGGGAUUAGUGGCGGACGGGUGAGUAACGCGUGGGAACAUACCCAAAGGUACGGAAUAGCCUCGGGAAACUGGGAGUAAUACCGUAUGUGCUCGAAAGAGGAAAGAUUUAUCGCCUUUGGAUUGGCCCGCGUUGGAUUAGGUAGUUGGUGGGGUAAUGGCCUACCAAGCCGACGAUCCAUAGCUGGUUUGGGAGGAUGAUCAGCCACACUGGGACUGAGACACGGGCCAGACUCCUACGGGAGGCAGCAGUGGGGAAUCUUAGACAAUGGGGGAAACCCUGAUCUAGCCAUGCCGCGUGAUCGAUGAAGGCCUUAGGGUUGUAAAGAUCUUUCAGGUGGGAAGAUAAUGACUGUACCACCAGAAGAAGCCCCGGCUAACUCCGUGCCAGCAGCCGCCGUAA